CGAGAUGUAGCGCAGUCUGGUAGCGCACUAGCAUGGGGUGCUAGGGGUCGCAGGUUCAAUUCCUGUCAUCUCGAUCA
RNAcentral lists this transfer RNA (77 nucleotides) under Aerococcus sp. HMSC06H08. RNAcentral's name for it is "tRNA-Pro". It matches the Rfam family "tRNA". From Rfam's summary of the family: Transfer RNA (tRNA) molecules are approximately 80 nucleotides in length. Lineage: Bacteria; Bacillati; Bacillota; Bacilli; Lactobacillales; Aerococcaceae. RNAcentral also lists the same sequence under 2 other names. The record is from RNAcentral.